Oryza sativa Japonica Group (Japanese rice) is the source of this 205-nucleotide microRNA precursor. It matches the Rfam family "MIR812 microRNA precursor family". NCBI's taxonomy places the organism in Eukaryota, Viridiplantae, Streptophyta, Magnoliopsida, Poales, Poaceae. The record is from Rfam.
AAUAAACAUUGCAUGAGUUCCCGUGUCCAACUUUGAUCGUCCGUUUUAUUUGAUUUUUUUUAUAAUUAGUAUUUUUAUUGUUAUUAGAUUAUAAAACAUUAAUAGUAUUUUAUGCGUGACUCAUAUUUUUUAGUUUUCUCAAAAAAAAUUCAAAUAAGACGAAUGAUCAAAGUUGGACACGAAAACUUAUGGUGCUGCGCUUAUU